GUUAGGAAUCUUCGGCAAUGGGGGAAACCCUGACCGAGCGACACUGCUUGAAGGAUGAAGGUCUUCGGAUCGUAAACUUCUGAACCUGCGACGAAAAAUGACGGUAGCAGGCUAAUAGCACCGGCUAACUCCGUGCCAGCAGCCGCGGUAAUACGGAGGGUGCAAGCGUUAUCCGGAAUCACUGGGCGUAAAGGGCGCGUAGGCGGUUUGUUAAGUCCGAUGUUAAAGACCGAGGCUCAACCUCGACACGGCGUUGGAUACUGGCAAGCUGGACGGUUGGAGAGGAAGGUAGAAUUACCAGUGUAGCGGUGGAAUGCGUAGAUACUGGUAGGAAUACCCAUUGCGAAGGCAGCCUUCUGGACAACACGUGACGCUGAGGCGCGAAAGUGUGGGGAGCAAACCGGAUUAGAAACCCUAGUAGUCC
This 424-nucleotide ribosomal RNA is filed under the name uncultured bacterium. RNAcentral describes it as "bacterial SSU rRNA". It matches the Rfam family "Bacterial small subunit ribosomal RNA", at positions 354 to 796 of the family's 1533-position model. The record is from RNAcentral.